UCGGCUCCUGAGUUAAGAAGCAUGGGAGGCCGGCGGGGUGUCGGAGCGCACACCGGCAUGGCUUACAUCGCUGUUGAUAGUUAAUAACCCAGGAUGUUAAAGAACUGAACGGAGAAGGGAAAUGAACCACAACAAACUUUGGAGUCUGUCCUAGGGAAGAGGCUGUGAAGCACAGAGGAGAACACGCAUCUGACCCACUUGUGAAGCAGCGCCUUUAAUGAGUCAUGAAGACGAGAAGUAUGGGGACACUCGUGACUCACAUUAAUGAGGAACGUGACGGGGUGGUUCUUCUCAAGAUGGUCUUCAGAUCUCAGCCCACUCAUCUAAUCAAGAGCCAUAAAUAGCAGCUGUGUCUUGUUCUAGCCAGAGUAGCUGCUAUUUAUUGGAGCAAAGACUACGUAGUCACCCCUGCAAUGUAUUGUUUGAGAAGUUAUUAAAAGUUGCAGCUACAAA
Long non-coding RNA from Myotis lucifugus (little brown bat), 453 nucleotides. RefSeq lists it as uncharacterized. Lineage: Eukaryota; Metazoa; Chordata; Mammalia; Chiroptera; Vespertilionidae. The record is from RefSeq and is a predicted model, not a curated record. The transcript is spliced from 2 exons.